Molecule: long non-coding RNA, 9303 nt
Organism: Gasterosteus aculeatus aculeatus (three-spined stickleback)
Lineage: Eukaryota; Metazoa; Chordata; Actinopteri; Perciformes; Gasterosteidae
Source: Ensembl
CAAUAAACCAUGAGAACGUUUUAAGAAAAGCAUGCGCGUGUCCCCGCCCCCUUAAGCGGAGCCGUUCGGGGUGUUAUGGUGGAAAACACAAAAGCUUCUGGGGUGUUUUUUGAGGCAAGCUUCGCUCACAACAGCCGAGUCGGGAGGCGGGGGGGUUUGGGGGGGCUUCUGAUGAUCAAAGUGUUGGGAAGUCUGUGCUCAGCAGGUAGAGAAUGUGUUCUGGUUGCUUGAAGGAUCCACUUUAUAAACAAACCCUGAAAACGCAGAAUAUCAUGGCGCCAUAUGGACGUCACUGCGAGGGAGAAGACUGCUGAAAGAGGGAAGAAACAAACACGCAGCAGAGCAAACAGCCCACCGGCGUCUUUCUCAACCACAUUGCUUUUGUGGUUUUAUUAAUACGAACAAACGCGGCCCCGUGGUUCUGAAAUGUUGUUUGGGGGAAUCUUCUUCAAAGCCUUUUGGUCCCCGGACACUCGUCCCCUGUGAUGUCGCGUCUUGUCAGAGGACAAGGACAAGCACAAUGGAUGACACAGAGAGGGAACACGUUACCGCCGACAAAGGACGGGAGCCUGACAUGACCGCCGCGUGUCACGCGGACCCGAGAGCUGACACGCACGACUGUGACUGUUUCAUAAUUCAUCAGAUCUCGCCCGAGAAAUGAAACAGAAGCCGCUGUCAGGAGCGUUUAAUCCGGGCCGCAGCCGGAGUGAAGACGUCGACAGUCUGUCCGCUCCGUUUGACGCUGGGCUCGUCGUGGCUUCUGCCAAACACCUCCGCGGUUAAGUGACGGGGAACGAAGGACGCGUGGAGGGAGGCGGGGCCCGCGAGGGCCCGGGAGACAACGCGGCGCCACGGCCCGGCGUGAGCGCGUCACAGAACUCAAAGGCACAACUUCAGAUGGGAUCACGGUCGCGGCUUCGCUUUCACACUAAAGUCCUUUUGGUCUUUUUUACCGACAUGGCGUCACAUGAUCCGCGGCCACUGAAGCUCACGUGGUCGCCGACGACGAGGUUCAAAGUCACCUGCUGCCACCGCGGCUCCGUCGUGUUCUCCACGAGGUGAGAAAAUGUCUGUUUCUGCUUCAUGACUGUAAAACCCUUUCAUGUCGGCUUGACGAAAACCUCAUUCUAGCAAUUAUUUCCCACAUAACCACAUUUUGAAGUGGAGAUGUAAAACGUUAUCAUGAAUCAUCCCGGCUGUUUGCAAUGGAACAAAGCAACAAAUACAAUUAGUGUUGCUUUUUAUAGCAGGAUUUAAUGAUCUGGACUGAAAUGGCAGCCGCCCCGAGCUAACUGGGUGGAUUGAGGGCGAUGCCGCUCGUGUGGCUCUUUUCAUUGCGCGGGGAAAUCGAUCGGGCGUAUAAAUAUAAAAUCUAUAUCCUCACUAUCUGAAUCUAAUAUCAAACCAUCGAAUAUAACUCGUUGCUAUUGUUUACACGUCACUGACGUGGAACAAACAGAUCAAUUACGCAUCAUCGUGGACUCGCUCUCAGGCACGUACCCGUGUCUAUACAUAGCAGAGGGUUUCUGGACAAAUCCCAGGUCAGGAUCCCUGUCGGCUCUGAGAGGGGCGUGUGUGCACUAGUAAAGACAUAACUGCUUUAAGAGCUCGGCAACGGUUAUUUUCAAAGACGAGAUUGAGUGGUAUUACCCUCUAACCCUAACUGUCCAAGCACUGUUUCUAUGCCAACAGCAGAAGAGUCUUUUCAUUCUGACUGGCUACUGUGUGUGUGUGUGUGUGUGUGUGUGUGUGUGUGUGGACGUUCUGCCGAGCUAUUUCCUAUUCACUGCCGUUUUAAAUUGUACACACCACCUGGCCGCACACGUAACCAUCAGCCACAUGCGUCGGUUCAGCAGCAGCAGCCCCUCCAGCCCGAUGCCUUCACACUCCGGACCCUUCCAGCAAGGAUCCAAUCAGCAUGCGUGAUGUCCAGCGCCUCGUAUUCUCACAAGGCCUCAUUUUGCAGGUCGGGGGGGGGGUGCGAUGAGAGCUCAGCGUUAUAAUUCCUCACUGCUUUAUAGCUUUUUCCAACUCAAUGGUCACCGAGAACAAGUGUGUCACUUAACAAAUGGGCUGCUUUGCUCAAUAUGCAAUUAACCUAUAUCGCUGGAUGGAAGUUUUCAGUCCACCGAGGAGAGUUUUCAUAGAGUGAAUAUCUAAAAAUGGCUGCGUACGGUGCAGAGAUCAAUCCCCUUUCUCUCCAUUGAUUCCAUUAAAAGCCUUUUUGGAGAUUGAUUACACUGAAAGCUUCCCUCCGCUUUAGAUUACAGUUGCACAAUUCCAAUCUCAUUUUUUACAGCCCAUAGAUAUGGGCAUUUAUUCUAUUACGGUGGAAGGUGCAAAGCCUGGAGCCUGAACAUCAGAGACCACCCUUUUCUACCAAUAAUGCUUUAGAUAGUAGAACAUCCGUUUGACUAUUGGUACGGCCCUGCGUUCUCCGAUAAGCGUUAUCACACCUGUCAUUCCUUUUGCCGGAUCAGUUUUCCGCCAUCAAGAUCAAAAUGCGUGUUUCAUGAAAAUCCGACAACAGCCCUGCGAAGAAAGACGAUUCAACCUGUUUUCAGCUCACGGACACUAUUUCGGUGCAGCGGGCGCCGCGUACACCUGCAUUCUUAUUCCGGUAGUCUACCAGCAACAGCAAGUCGAAAAAGCCAAUGAAAACAGAAUGCAUUGCACAUAUAGAUGUAUAUGUAUAUAUACAGAUAUGUAUAUUUCUUUGUGUGCCGUAGCUCUCAUUUCUGAGGCCUUAUCUCUGUAAUGGAAUAUUUAUCAGUAAAGAAUACAGCAAAAAGAAUGCCGCCCCUGGCAACUGAAUGCAUAAAACAUUUAGUUAUUUCCUUGUGUUUGUAUAUCAACCGGAGAAGUGAUGAAGAAUAUUAAGGGCUGUAUAGUGGGGGGUGGGGGGUCCUUACUCAGCACCUUGUGGCCGUUGCCAUCUCCAGGGUUAAAUCUGGGGCAGUGUCCUCGCCGGCCCGCUGAGGGAUUCAUUUAUUCACCGCCCGUUUCUGCUGAGCGUUCCACUCUCUGCAGGUGGGAUGUUUAUGGAUACGUCCUGAAAGUAAUAUGAAAGCAAUAACACCGCACAACAUCUCGGUUAUUUCACUGAAGAAUUGAUCAGAUGUGUCACUUGAAAUUGCAUUUUUUUUGUUGUUGUUUAAUACAGUGUGCGUUCCUCACUGCGGUGCAGCCGUGUGACAGACAGCCGGCUUUUUGCAUGUGGCUGCGCGUGACCUUUCCCUGCUGCGCUGCUUAGUGCAGUCCGCUGGCAGACUUGGGUGUUGUUGCCGAAUGGAUAAGCGCUCAUCCUGAAACCCGUCCCCCGUCCCCUCCAUCCUCCACAUCGCCCGAAGGCUGCUUCCCCCGCUUGGCCAGCCGCUCCUUCCGUCGGGGGGGUUUGGCGGCGCAGGAUGCGUCCUCGCGCCCGAAUGCCGGAUGAUGGAGAACUAAAAGAAACGGGGAAUAAAGUCUACGACUAGUGUGGCCUUAAAGCAUCUUCUUCAUUCAUUGUAGGUGUCAAAACAGUGUCACAUGAUAAUUACAUGUGAGGUUGAACCCCAAAAUGUCUGUAUUUUUAGGCAUUGACAAACCAACUAAAUGAAAUGUGAGUGACAAAGAGGUGCUGUAUAUAAACAACAAUACGCUGUAUGUGCUAACAGACACAUUUUUAAAUCCUCUGGCGGCGUGUUUAAGGCUUAGAAACACCACUUACAGGAGCCCCGCGUUGCUGCGGCUGCACGCGGAGCCUUUGUUGAGUACGAGGGGAGGCGCUCUUCCCUUGCAGUGCUGUUGUUGUCGCUUGUUUCGUUCAGCUUCACUUCCUUAAUUGGAACUCCUGUCACACGGCGGACUGCAAACUUUAGUUUUGCCCGAGUCCACCUUGUAGCUAACUACAUGUAGGCAGCGGAUGGGUUUAGCUGGGCUAAAGGUGUCGAUGCUCUCCAGUGCUUGAAUUAGAAUUUCAUUGAUAGCGUCUAAACGUUUCCAGGCACUGAGUACCGCUGAUUGUUUUGUGAAACCGCAGCAGGACGAGUGGAUGCAGCUGUACGUGAGGAUGUGUGCAGCGCGUUCACCGGCAGCAGCGUGCAAGGUCUCAAACCACGAAUGAAUUCGCUCGUUUCUCCUCCAAACGUUCUUUCGUUCGUCGUUCACGUGCAUGAUGCGUGACCUCUGCCUUUAACCCUCCCCGAGCAUCCGUAGGAGCACCGGGCCGCUGCGAAGCACCCGGGGAGCCGCUUCGGGGGGAUCCGUGUCCUGGUCAAGGACGCUUCCACGCGUGACAGUUUAACCACGAGGUUAAAGGACGAGCCGCUCUCCCCACCGAGCCACAUCUGCCCCAGUUUUUUUUCAGCUCGUGACCUCGACCUUUCCUCAAGCUGCAAGGACACCAACACAUUUUUUGAAGUUGGUUAAUAUAAGAAGUCGUUGGCCUAUUUGUAUUAUGCUUCCACACACCAGGUAGAAAUGGUGGUAAUCUAAUUUUGAGGGGGGUGUUUUUUUCGUGAACUUUUACUGGAGUUUGUUGCAUAAACACGACCCACAAGCAGCUUUGUACCUUUUUAGAAAGAGCGUUUCCCGUCAACGUGAAUAACUAAACAGUUUAGUUGAAUAGAAACGUAAAUUUGUUGCAGAUAUUAUCGCGGCUCGCCAAGCGUUGAAAGAAAGAUAAAUCUUGAAUUGAACUUUUUUUUACAAGGACCAAGGAUUGUGGAGGUUGUCCCCUAAAUGACUUACUGUGAAAUUGGGUUAUGUCUUUGCAGCCAAUAGACAAGAGGAGCAAUUCCAGGAGCAGUAACCCUUUUAGUGUUCAGUCGUGACUGAAGACUCUUUCCCGCAACCUUUCCAUGUUCUGGUCCAAGUAGUCACCUAACCUCGUAGUCUAAUUCCCGUGCACGGAUUUGUACGAAUAAUUGAUGUAAGAACGAAAACGUUAUCAUUUGUCAUUCAAAAUGUCGCUGAUCGGAAUGCCACGAGGGACGUUUUCACACAAAAGGUCAUUUGACUCGUCACCGGGAGAACGACUCAACCCACGAACGCAGCCGCUCAAUGUCUGAACCAAAGAAUAUAAGCAGUCAAACAAAACAUCUCAUUAUCAGGGGUUAUUUUCUUGAGAGCCUCCUCUACAAAUUGGGGACAUGAAACGUCUCGGGGUUCCGGCAGAGAAAGUUCUGUUUAUUAGGGAACACGGACGAGCCGGCGUUGCAUUUUUCACCAGCGAAUCCAUGAAAAAUAAUACAACUGACAAUCUACCGCAUCCAAAACAAAUUAAAUCCCUGCAUGAUGUAUUCAACUGCUGCACCAAUCGAAAGGAGUCUCCCGGAGGCACCGUCCAUCUGCCACGCGGCGGAAGUCAGCGGCGGAGACGACGUUCCUGUCCUCCCUUAAAACAAGCCGUCAAAGCGACGCGGACGCCGCUCCUCAAGCCCUCGAGAAGAGUCCACGUGCUCCCGCGCGUCGCAUCGAGGGCCGACUGGGAGCCACGGAGACCAACCGGUGACGUAGGGGCAGUUCUUUGCAUCAGUGACAGAUCCCUUUCAUAUUGUACCUCCCCCCUCAGAAUGCUGAAUGCUGAAUUUCCCCUUUUAUGAUAUAAAAAUGUUCAGGAUUCAAGUGGUUUCUCCUCUCGCACACCGGCCCCACAGAGCCUCCCUGUGCCGUGUGCUCGGCUGGCCAGUGUGCCGAGUGUCUCGGGGGCUCAGCUCAGGCUUCAGCCGGCCACGGCCACCUGAACUGCUUUCUCCAUUGUGACCCCAGGCGGCACGCGGGCUGCUGCUUCAUUAGGUCGCUGCACCACCUCUAGCCAGGAGGGGAUUUGAAGGCAGGUCCAGUCUGGAUUACCAUAUGGCUCCUCUUGGUCCACGCUGUCAUGAAAUAUGAAUCCAACGCCAAGACUACUGCUCCUAACGCGCUCAGGAGUGUCACACAUAUACGGCCCGACACAGUGGGAGCUCCGGGCGCAUGGAUGUUGCAAAGAUUUCAUCACGCUUGGAAGGCAGGAGUUUUCAUAUUGUGAGUUGCUGGGUCCACGGCGGCGUCCUCUUUGUUUACCUUGGCUCGGUCCGCAUUGUCCUCAUCUCGUCCAGCGCGCAAAACAGACGGGAAAAGGUGUUGGAAAAAUUGCCUUUUGGGGAAAGCUCGUGAAAAUAUUCUCGUUCUCCAUUCACACCCCCUAAAUUAAUGCAGAUUAAUUCAAAUCAAAGGCCUUUGUGGAAACUGCACCUGCAAACAUUUGACUUUUUCACUGCAGAGACACAAUCUGUGUGUCAGGUAAGGAAGUGGUUUAAUCUCUUCAGGCCCAGAGGUGGCUUAAGUGGCAGAGACCAGAUGGUGGAAUCAACAUGCCCGGGAGGCAAACACCGACUGACAAGACAGCCGAGAGUCUUCCAUGAUGAAGUGUGUGCAUUUGAUUUCCCCACUCAUCCCUCUCUCAAACCGGGUUGUUCAAUAUUUUCCAUGAGCAACGAGUCAAAUGAAUGAAAAUGUGCACCGAAAAUAAAUUCACCAUUAAGCGGUCGCGUCGCUCGAUUCCGUCUGUCUGCGUGAUGGACGAGUGCAACAGCUUUCGGAUUCAACUUGACGAACCUCUUCAGUGACAUUUCUGAAAAACAAUAUCCUGAACUGCCGGCCGAAGCGGUGGGACAACCUUCGGGGUGUUGAAUGUCACCAUCUGUCGAGGACCUGCUUAGUCAAAGUCAUUACGGCACGUGGAGUGGAGCUCCUGCUCAUGAGGGCCGCGCUUUAUUGCACAGAAGCUCAGGUGGACCCUGAUCGGAUUUCAGAGGCUCAGUGGGCCGUCGGUGGGAGCGCGUGGUUUCACAUUAUCCACUUCUAAUUGUUGGGCGCACCCAACAAUCCGCUCUGUAAAACACUUGAUUUUUAUUGAUUUAUUUGGCCAAUUAGAUAUCACAUAGUAAAACUACUGUGUUUGUCCGUAAAACAACUUACUGCAAAACAAACGCUAAAGAUGUCUUCUAUUCCUAAUGCUACGGCAGUUGGAUCAAACUCCGCCGUACCUGCGUAGAUUUGACCUUUUCUCAGGAAUUUACAGUCUGCUUAUUAAUCACGAAGCCGCAGCAGCAGAUUUUUUUUUUUUUAUGGCUACUCUGAUAAACUCAACACGCUAACGCACGUUUCUGCAAACAUCUGUCUGCUAUCCAGCUGACGCGACAACUUUCACAUGCACUUUAGUUGUGGAGCUCUUCUCGGUCACCUUGACCAGCUACAAUUUAUUUAUUUCACACUCAAUCCGCUUCGGUUCAGUCAGCUAAAACAGCCCUAAGGUGUACAUUACACGUGGUCUUUUAAUCCCUUUGUAAUAAAAGUAUGUGCGUCCACGGACCACAGCAGUCCAGCGCUUUGAGAUGCUGCGAUUGGUUCCGUCAGACUCGACGUGGUGAGCAGAGUUUGAUUAAGUUUCCUGGUGUCGGCGUUCGCUCUGCGGGGCGCUGCGUCGUUCAUCCCCGCCUCAGGUGUCUGUCACACACCAGCAGGAUGCGUCGAUUCGCCGUAGCCAAACAUAUCUCCGAGCAGAUAGUUCCACCGGGGGGGGGGUUAUUGUGUUCCUCAAAACCAACUCUCAGCCAUGGCAUCCCGCUUGAUGUGCCUCUCAGGUGGCCUUCAUAUUGCCUGAAUGGAUUUUGAGCGGUGAUGUGGAACGAUUCCUUUGAGAAUGACGCCCUUUCAAAUGAAGAUAAAGUCAUUAGACAGCAGCAGCUGUCCUUGGAUCUUUGCUUUUUCCUCAACUGCGCUGGAUGAAAACGGUGUGCCGCGUGUGUUUCAAGAUGCUCUUAGGAGUGAUGCUCAUUCUCAGCGUGUUCGCAUUAAGAGCUGUUUUUCUCCAUUACUGCUUAAGGACAGUUGUCAGUUUGCCACUUGUCAAAUUUAGUUGGAUCUUUUCAGAUGAACCUUCAUCAACUUUGAAUAUUGACAUUUUAAAAGGCCCCUCGCCAACAUUCGUCCUCAUGCACACACGGGCACCGAUUGCACGGCUCAUUUCUCGAAUGACUGCGGAACGUAUGCAGCCUCCCACCGAGUGGAUGUAUUUACACGCACCUCGUCUCGUCUCGGGGAUUCCUGCCUGGCGCUCUGGCAUUCUGGCGAUUUGUUACAACCUGGCACAGAGUCUACGUCGUACCUGGAUGUGUCUGCUGUAUCUCCUCAUGCAGAAUGGCUUCUGCUGUCCCACAGGUCUGCAACAUGCUCGUCUCUACAGGUGCAGCCGGCGCCGUUGGCUUGGAGGAGGAGGAGGAGGAGGAGGAGUGGAACAAAUGUGGUUCUGUUUUUUUGGUUAACCUUUUGAUUUAACAAAAGCACGUCAAUACCCUUCUAACUGUUUGUUUGGUUUGGAAUCACACGUUUGGACACGUCACAGAAAAUAUUGUGAUUGAGAAAUUCUUCAGGUUUUAAAUGUAACGGUGUAAACGUCUCUUGUAUUUUUGUUGUUUUGUGAAAGGGGCCAAAUGAUUUGGACAACAUGGAAGUCGAAUUAAGCUAUUAUUGUUUUCCGGUACUGAAUUUGGAUCUUGGCGAGCACAGAUUGUUCCCUUUACUCGUUCUCUGAAGUGAAUUCUAUUUGUGUCGUGCGUUUUGAUGACCCAAUGUCCUUUUUAUCUUACUACUCAACAUAUUUAAGCAACACUAUAAAAUGCACCACAACAAUCUGUCCACUGACUUUGAGAUUCAAAGGAAACCCUUUGAUGCUACAGCAUGAAGUCUGCUUUCAUGAUUAACCAAAGUAAAAUAUCUGACCCGAAACACGUACAGACAUUUUGGUAUUUUGAUUUCUGCGUCCGGGUACGCUAGCGACUCCUGGCACAACCAGAGCAGGUCCAUAAAAGAGAGGACUCCCCAGUUUGGAUGUCGAAGAACUAGUCCACACAGAACCUCGACCCUGUCCAGCCCGUCUGGCGCCGACGGGAAGACCGCCGCCGAUAGACAAAGCGUCAGAGCUGGACCGUUGAAUGCGUUGAAUGGGAGCCAGAAGAGCGCAGGCUGUCACAGCAGAUUAAUACCCAUGAACGUGUGGGUGCCAUGUUCAGGUGUCCACAGAUUUAAACCCAUGAACGUGUGGGUGCCAUGUUCAGGUCUCUACAGAUUAAUACCCAUGAACGUGUGGGUGCCAUGUUCAGGUGUCCACAGAUUAAAACCCAUGAACGUGUGGGUGCCAUGUUCAGGUCUCUACAGAUUAAUACCCAUGAACGUGUGGGUGCCAUGUUCAGGUCUCUACAGAUUAAUACCCAUGAACGUGUGGGUGCCAUGUUCAGGUCUCUACAGAUUAAUACCCAUGAACGUGUGGGUGCCAUGUUC